This 501-nucleotide ribosomal RNA is filed under the name uncultured bacterium. RNAcentral's name for it is "partial 16S ribosomal RNA". It matches the Rfam family "Bacterial small subunit ribosomal RNA", at positions 30 to 523 of the family's 1533-position model. The record is from RNAcentral.
AUCGAACGCUGGCGGCAGGCUUAACACAUGCAAGUCGAGCGGAGCGAGGGUGCUUGCACCUUAGCUUAGCGGCGGACGGGUGAGUAAUGCUUAGGAAUCUGCCUAUUAGUGGGGGACAACAUUCCGAAAGGAAUGCUAAUACCGCAUACGCCCUACGGGGGAAAGCAGGGGAUCUUCGGACAUUGCGCUAAUCGAUGAGCCUAAGUCGGAUUAGCUAGUUGGUGGGGUAAAGGCCUACCAAGGCGACGAUCUGUAGCGGGUCUGAGAGGAUGAUCCGCCACACUGGGACUGAGACACGGCCCAGACUCCUACGGGAGGCAGCAGUGGGGAAUAUUGGACAAUGGGCGGAAGCCUGAUCCAGCCAUGCCGCGUGUGUGAAGAAGGCCUUUUGGUUGUAAAGCACUUUAAGCGAGGAGGAGGCUACUUAGAUUAAUACUCUGGGAUAGUGGACGUUACUCGCAGAAUAAGCACCGGCUAACUCUGUGCCAGCAGCCGCCGUAA